UUUUUUUUCAGGGCUGCUUUGGAAUCCCCAGUCCAGCCCUGGGCUCAGGCACCAAGUGUAGUGGUGUUAUGGAGACAGAAUCAGGCACUGAGGGUAGUGGUCUUCUGGAGACAGGCUCAGGCACUGAGGGUAGUGGUGUUGUGGAGACAGGCUCAGGCACCAAGUGUAGUGGUGUUGUGGAGACAGGCUUUGAGACUAUGGUGAGGCCUAAUAGAAAGCAACA
Non-coding RNA from Pelobates cultripes (western spadefoot toad), 223 nucleotides. Lineage: Eukaryota; Metazoa; Chordata; Amphibia; Anura; Pelobatidae. The record is from the annotation of a GenBank genome assembly.